AAACGAAUUCUAUGGAAAUGAUUUACCGCUCGUUAGAGAGCGAGCGAAUGGUUUGUCUGGUUUCUCCGGUGAAGAGAGAGAGAGAGAGAGAGAGGAGAGGAAAAGAAAAAGGGGAAAAAUUAAUUCCCGCGACGCUUCCACAAAAGAAAUGGGAAGGAAAAAUUACAAAGAGAAUUUUAAUGCUCCGGCUGUAAAAAAUUGUUAUUACGAGUUUUGCAAGCUGUAAAAAUAAAUUUAAUCUCUUCUUAGCCUAGUUCCUCUCGCGUGCGCGUGCGCGUUCGACGCGAAACGACGUUCGUGCGAGGCGAUUAUUUAACAACGAAUUUAAGACGUGAAAUCGAGGCACGGAUCGAUUCGAGUCGUUACAAAUAUAAAACGCGACGUGUCGGCUACGAGCCAACCUCCCAUUCAUCCGUUUAACGAACGAACAAAAAUGUGUUACAACCAGCCAUUUUAUGUAACGAAGACACAGAGAGAGAGAGAGAGAGAGGAAGAGAGAGAGAGAAAGAUAAGAAGCAGAGAGAAGGAAAGCAAAGGGAGGUCAAAAGAAACGGUUACAAAGACGGACGCGCGGGUUCGAGGCGGCUAGUUAAUGCCGGACAUUAAAAGGAGAGACAAAAGACAAAACAACGGCACGAGUUUUAAUAAGGCGGAGUACGGGAUUGGCCGGCCAGUUGGCUUCAAUCAAGUCCCCGCGAUCUUCUUCUCCGCGCCAUCUCCACGAGGCCUUUGCCCAUACCUUUUCCUCCCAUCUACAUGCGAGUCGACGAAUUAAAACGUCUCCAACCACGGGAGACGUUAUGAAUUAUCAUUACCAUCCUCCUCCUCGCACUUUCUCGCUUUUGUUCUCUCGAAAAAAAUUCAACUCCGCCAAUCACGGCUCAAUUUUUUAUCAUUGAACAAGAUCAACGGCACUUUACUCGAACGACAAUUCUCGAAGAGCACAAUUUAUACACAGUUUCAAAGAUAGAACGGAUACCGACUCCGUCAUCGAUCGAGUAAAUUCUUUCUCUUGUUCUUCCAUCCAAUCGAAAGAGAAUUCGAUUAAAUUGAGAUUCGAUUAAACUAAUCCUAAUCUUUCCUUUCGCAGGUUCGAGGACAAUGCACACGUCCCUUUUUUAUAAAUCGUUAAUCACCGCAAUCGAUUCGUUCGGUUCAUCGAAACAAUCGUUAUUCAACGUGGCUUCGAGUUGGCUUCGUCUAAUUCUUUCUUUUUAUUAUUUCGUCCCCUUGGAAAGAAAACGGGUUCGAGAGUUCGGGUGGCGGAGGUAGGGCAGCAGAGCACGAGGAAAAGAAGAAAUCCGGGCUGCUCUGACGGGAAGAAAAACAUCGAUAAAAGCCGGGCUGGUAGUAACACUAGUGUCAGAAGAGGUUGGAGGAUCCGGGCCAGACCCAUUGGCGUAGACCGCGUCCUUUUUUUUUUCUUCUCUCUAGGCUUCGAUCGAUUUUCCUCGUACCGCUUGGUAAACGACGACGACAACAAACUUCUUUCGUCUCUUCCCCCCUAUCCUCGAGAAAGCUAUUAAAUUCGAACGACAAAAGUUUCGAUCCGUUUUCCCUCUCGGUUUUUGCCACACAAGAAAAUUUCUUACGCAACUUUUUCGAUACGUAAUGGAUAAUUUAAUUGAAACAAUUUGAUUUUGCAACGUGAUUCUAGCUAAUUAUAGAUAUUAUUAAAAAAGUGAAAAAUAAAGCGAGAGAAAUUAGGAGAAUCGUCGUAAAUUUCACGAAGGACACGAAGCGAUUAAUAAUUAUCAUUUCUCGAUAAGGAACAAUGGUAACAAUUAGAGUUUACGACUUCCUGCGCCAUUGGAGGUUCCUUACGGAUUAACGGAACUCCCACGCGGUCUGUACACGAUGUCUUUCGAGGCAAGUUCACGAAGUCGUGCCGUUUCCACACACACGAGCGCCCUAAGUACGCCCCCUGGCUGCCAAUGCCUUGUCAAUGGAAUAUCAAUAAAGCGUGUAUAUACGAGGAACGCUCGUGGCGCCGCCGCUUCACACGGCACGACCGAUUAUUUCUCCCGCUUUCUCGCCUCCUGAAAAACGAUUCCUACGAAAACUAACACGAUCGAUUCUUUCUUCGCGAAUAAGAAAGACUUCUCCGUUUUAUCCUAGCUGUUGGUGUUUCGUGGGUUUAACGAGAAAGAGUUGCUCGAAGAGAAUAACCUCACUUAGGGAGAAGUAAGAAAAAUAUGAAUAUGAAGCGAAAUUAUACCGAACGUAAAUAGAGGACGGUAUGAAACAAGGCCGUAAAAUGAGCUGUAGCUCUCUCAGGAGAGAGAAAGAGAGAGAGAGAGAAAUUAAGUUUCAUAAAGCACAAGCUGGUUAUAAUGAUAUUUGUUGGAGAGAAGAGGCGUUUAAUUUAUUCCACCGCGACAAUGCCGCGGCGUACGUAAAAAAUCUAAACCUCCCUCCCUCCCUCCCUUCCACCCCCCAUCGGCCGACCAACGACUUCCCAUUAAUUUUUAACGAAGACUAAUAAUUUUUAAUAAGGCGUAAUAACGGUAAUAAAUAUUAAUUGCUGUGUCCUCGAUGGGACACUUGAAAAAUCGUGCCCCGCCCCGCUGUAUCCCUCUAUAUAUCGAGAUAAAAUAAGAAUGAGAAUUUUUCGAUCGCGACGAAACAGAGAAAGGGAGAAGCGCGAAGAGGUGGCGAGACAGAUGGUUUCCAGGACGGUUAUUUUUUUCGUUGCGUUAUUCUUUAAUAAUGUCACGCGUAUGGGUGUGGUAUAAUAAUUGCAAAUGUAUGCACUGGUGCAAUUACACGUGACAAAAAAAAAAAAAAGGACGUGAUAUGAAAAAAAAAUUUCAAAAAUUAACGCGCAACAUUAUUCUAAAAUGUUGUUUGCAAAUUAAGUCGUCGUAAGUGUACAUAAUGAGAAUGAGGAUUAAAAUUUCGCGACACGUUCUUUAUCGUAUAAAUUCUUUCAAAGUCAAUAAAGAUCGUUUCGAAUGUAUCGUUCCUCGUACGAAUAGAAUUUUUUUCUUUUUUCCCGUUUCGUCUCGUAGGAAUCUUGGCGGGCAAACCGGAAAUUACGCGCAAGUUAUAAAGUCGCGCGUGUCGCCGAUUAUAUCGACGAUUAAUCGUAAAUAUGCGCGUUGGACGAUCACGACGUAAGAAUAUCGUAAGAAAAAUGCCGUCAUAUACUAGAAUUGCUAAUAGAAACGAGGUAAUAUCUGGGCUGGCAAUAUAUAUAUAUAUAUAUGUACGCGUAUUCCGGUAUCCAACGUUGCCGCUUAUCGAAAACCUUCAUCUAAAAACUCUUCUCCCGUAAUUAAUGAUCCCAGAUAAAUUUUCCAUUGGCAUCGACGCGAGAAAAUGCGAGCUUUAUACGCGUGGAAGAGACAAAAAUCUCUUGAUUCUAGCUAACCUGCCCUUGAUACAUUCUUUUUCAUGUGUAUAACAAACGUGUACAUUGUUGACGAUGGAAUUGAAAUGUGAAAAAAUACGAGAAAGGAAAAAAAUCCAACGGAUAUGUGGAAAACAUCGUUUCGUUCGUUGGAUCGAUAAAAAAUUAUAGAAAUGCGUCGCGACGUCGAAAAACUCGGUGCUCGAUUUACGAGCGAUCGGAUGAAAAAUGUUUAAGCCGGUAAUGCCGUUCGAGGAAUAGUAGAGGUAUACUUUUCUUGGGGGAGUGGAGAGAACGAUACAAGCCCAAGAUUGUAAAAAAAUCUAGGGUCAACCGAGGCCGUAAAUCUUCAGUCGUAGAUACACGUGUGGAAAGAAUGAAAACGAAUCAUGCACAACCCCGACACAACCUUUCGUUACAAUGUUCCUUUGGGAACGGUUCGAGCAACCAUCUCGUCGAACAACAAUAGUUCGCGUGAAGUAAUUUUACGACAGCAAGCAAAAAACUUUAUUACCAAAGCUUUCUCGAUAAACUGAGAAACUAUCUUAUCGACGAAUUUAUCGCGCCCACUGUUUAAUCCUGUCGGCUUGCUACCGAUUACGUUCUUAUUUACUCGCGUUAGUCAACUUUAAACUUUUGCGUUAGUCAACGUGAUUUACGUCACGUAAAUUUUGUUUCUACAAAUUUUUACAGUUCGACGACUCGUUCGAGCUCUUACCAUGCGCGUUUCAAAUUAUCGCGACGACAGUUUCGACGAUAAAACGAUAAAACUUAACCUUACUUGGUUUUUCGAAAAAUUAUAUUCUUUCCAUAAAAGACAAAACGAUCGAAAUAAUUUUCAAACUUUGGACGAUCCGUCCAGAUUUUUUUGCGCAAGAAUAUAACAUCGACGAUCGCGCGUGCAGCAUUUCCGACGAGGUUAGAAAGUCCUACCACACCGAUACCUGUUGCCUUGGCUUCCGGCUAAAAGCAUCUAGUGGAAUUUUGAUUACGAGCAAACAACUGUCAAUGAUGAAACAUUGAACGCGUGAACGAUAUAAUUAAUUAUUUUCCCACGUGGAGAACUAUGGAAAUAAUAAACAAUAUUUCUUCAUAUUUUUUUUAUCUAUCGUACGAGAUGAAAAAUUUCACAUUAUAGACAGACAUAAAGUAUCCAGGAGGGUACUAAAGAAAAGAAAAAGAAAGUUUCUCGUUGCUUCGCAAUGAUUCAAAAUUACGGAGAAUGUCGUGCAUAUAAACAAAACGAGUGAAAGUCUUUCGAAAAGGUGCACGUGUCUGUCCGUUAAUCGUAUCAUUUGACCGAGUCUAAUUUCGAAAUAAAACGGAGGAAUAUCGUUUGCGAUCUAAUAACGCGACAAAAAAUUUAAAAAAUUGUAAAAAUAUUCCAUAAAUCAUUU
Molecule: long non-coding RNA, 4749 nt
Filed under: Apis florea (little honeybee)
Lineage: Eukaryota; Metazoa; Arthropoda; Insecta; Hymenoptera; Apidae
Description: uncharacterized LOC116415563
Source: RNAcentral